AUACGGAGGGUGCAAGCGUUAAUCGGAACCACUGGGCGUAAAGCGCUCGUAGGUGGCUUUGUAAGUCAGGUGUGAAAGCCCACGGCUCAACCGUGGAAUUGCACUUGAUACUGCAUUGCUUGAGUCCUGGAGAGGGUGGCGGAAUUCCGGGUGUAGGAGUGAAAUCCGUAGAUAUCCGGAGGAACACCGGUGGCGAAGGCGGCCACCUGGACAGGUACUGACGCUGAGGCGCGAAAGCGUGGGGAGC
Molecule: ribosomal RNA, 247 nt
Filed under: uncultured bacterium
Lineage: Bacteria
Description: partial 16S ribosomal RNA
Rfam family: Bacterial small subunit ribosomal RNA
Source: RNAcentral